CCUACGGGAGGCAGCAGUGAGGAAUAUUGGUCAAUGGACGAGAGUCUGAACCAGCCAAGUCGCGUGAAGGAUGACUGCCCUAUGGGUUGUAAACUUCUUUUAUAUGGGAAUAAAAUGUUCCACGUGUGGGAUUUUGUAUGUAUCAUAUCAAUAAGGAUCGGCUAACUCCGUGCCAGCAGCCGCGGUAAUCCGGAGGAUCCGAGCGUUAUCCGGAUUUAUUGGGUUUAAAGGGAGCGUAGGUGGAUUGUUAAGUCAGGUGUGAAAGUUUGCGGCUCAACCGUAAAAUUGCAGUUGAAACUGGGAGUCUUGAGUACAGUAGAGGUGGGCGGAAUUCGUGGUGUAGCGGUGAAAUGCUUAGAUAUCACGAAGAACUCCGAUGGCGAAGGCAGCUCACUGGACUGCAACUGACACUGAGGCUCGAAAGUGUGGGUAUCAAACAGGAUUAGAUACCCUGGUAGUC
RNAcentral lists this ribosomal RNA (460 nucleotides) under uncultured bacterium. RNAcentral's name for it is "partial 16S ribosomal RNA". It matches the Rfam family "Bacterial small subunit ribosomal RNA", at positions 338 to 795 of the family's 1533-position model. The record is from RNAcentral.